RNAcentral lists this long non-coding RNA (476 nucleotides) under Marmota monax (woodchuck). The record is from RNAcentral. Lineage: Eukaryota; Metazoa; Chordata; Mammalia; Rodentia; Sciuridae.
GCCUACCAACAGAGUGCUUUGCAAUUCAGCCUCAAAAAGUGUAGGGAAAGGAAUUGCAUUCACUCCAGUCUCAGACCCUGUAAGAUUUGGAUAUGUCCUUCAUAUUCUAUUGGAUCUACAGUGAGUUCAGCAGUGUACUAUACUGUUCUUAGGAUUAUAUUAAAAAACUGGUAAAUUGGUAUUUCUUGGAGUGGAUAAUGAGGAAAAAACAUGCUAAAAGAUGACAGACUUGGUCAACAUGUCCCAACAUUACAUCCCACUUCAGAAGUAUUGACUAUUGCUGGUGUAUGAUUUUUACAACUUUUGAUCCGGGUGGACAUGUUCAAGCCUGAAGAGUAUGGAAAAACUGCCUUCCUGCUGUCAAAGGCAUUGUAUUUCUUGAGGAUUGUACAGCCCAUGAAAGGCUGUUAGAAUCGAAAGAAGAAUUUGAUUCACUAAUGACUGAUGACACCAUUGUUAAUGUGCCUAUACUGAUU